Molecule: unclassified non-coding RNA, 445 nt
Filed under: Arabidopsis nitida (nom. ined.)
Lineage: Eukaryota; Viridiplantae; Streptophyta; Magnoliopsida; Brassicales; Brassicaceae
Description: Arabidopsis sp. NH-2014a sequence contains ITS1, 5.8S rRNA gene and ITS2
Rfam family: 5.8S ribosomal RNA (bases 275-430)
Source: RNAcentral
UGUCGAUACCUGUCCAAAACAGAACGACCCGCGAACCAACGAUCACCACUCUCGGUGGGCCGGUUUCUUAACCGAUCCCGUGCUCGCCGGAUCCGUGGUUUCGCGUAUCGCCCUGGUCGGGAGCUUUAUCUCGGUCUUGUCGUGCGCGUUGCUUCCGGAUAUCACAAAACCCCGGCACGAAAAGUGUCAAGGAACAAGCAAACGAACGGCUGGCAUUCGCCUCCCCGGAGACGGUGUGUGCGCGGAUGCUGUGCUGCGAUAUAAAGUCUAAAACGACUCUCGGCAACGGAUAUCUCGGCUCUCGCAUCGAUGAAGAACGUAGCGAAAUGCGAUACUUGGUGUGAAUUGCAGAAUCCCGUGAACCAUCGAGUCUUUGAACGCAAGUUGCGCCCCAAGCCUUCUGGCCGAGGGCACGUCUGCCUGGGUGUCACAAAUCGUCGUCCCC